RNAcentral lists this ribosomal RNA (217 nucleotides) under uncultured bacterium. RNAcentral's name for it is "partial 16S ribosomal RNA". It matches the Rfam family "Bacterial small subunit ribosomal RNA", at positions 118 to 351 of the family's 1533-position model. The record is from RNAcentral.
UGGGAACCUUCCCUAUGGUUCGGAAUAGCUCAGGGAAACUUGGGGUAAUACCGGAUAAGCCCUUCGGGGGAAAGAUUUAUCGCCAUUGGAUGGGCCCGCGUCGGAUUAGCUAGUUGGUGAGGUAACGGCUCACCAAGGCAACGAUCCGUAGCUGGUCUGAGAGGAUGAUCAGCCACACUGAGACUGAGACACGGCCCAGACUCCGUACGGGAGGCGG